GCCGUCGCGGGGGAAAGCAACAGCUCCGUCGCCAGCGCCCGGGGGCGAGCCCCGCGCAGGUUGGCCCGGGGGGAGCCCGGGGGGACACACAGCCGCCCUGCCACUGCCCCAGACUUAGCCGCCCGGUCCCUGGCACCCUCUGGCUCUGGAGCAGAGAGGCUUAUCAAUUCCCCCCAGGGUUAGUAAUUGGGACUUCCGCGUUGAGGAAGGGGGAAAACCGAGCCUUCCCCUCGCUAACCUCACUGAGAACAACAUAAACAAAGGCAGGCAUUUCGUUUGGAGAAGCAAAAUGCAUUCGUUACGCCUUCCCAUGUAUUUCGACCGGAUUAGAGAGGGUAAAACCGCUCUGAAUUUGGAACCUCUGCUGCAGGACGGUUCUGCAAAGGAGAAGCGUGGCCAAGAGGUGGGGAGACUGUUACCCAUAGCUAAGCUAAACAAAGGGAGGAGAAAAAAGUUACAUCUCUUCUUUGGAGGAAUAUAAACAGAACUGGGACGCCUCGAUAGCCUAGCUUUUACAUACACAGAUGGUGUGCAAAGGGAACUGUUUAACUCACUACUGCUUCUCCAAAAGGUCAAGUUCUAUUGUAUCUAAAUUGUUGUCGUUUUGUACCGGGCUUUGCUUGGAAAAUAUUUGAAGCCGACCAUUUACCUUGCCAGUAGGGUGGGUACCUCUAAUUAACAGGAGGAACGUGUGCUAGAAGGAAUUUGCGCCAAGAGGAGCUAAUUAAAAUAUUACAGGAUCGCUGGCUCCAAUCUCUGCUGUUCUCUCGCACAGGGAGGGUGAGGGGUAUUAUGACUCGAGCAGGAGAAAAUAUCUAAGGAGUUAGGACAGUGUUUUGUAAAGCUGAGGGUUGAUUACAGUCUACAAAGCCUUAUUAGAAAAGUAUAGCAUUAGGGAAUUUGAAAUGUUGCUGCCAAAAUGCUCACUGUCUUUCCACCUUUACCAAUGCAAAUAGGGGCACAAGGCGAUAAUUCGUCGCAAAAUUUGCCAGGAAUGCAGCUUCAGAAAAACCUGCUGAUUAUUUGUAUUUUAAAUAUCUCGGGCUUAGAAGUUCUUAAAAGGCAUUUAUUUUCUCUUUGCGGUUCUGUCUGUUAUGGAAAGAAGCUAUACGUAUACUUUUUUCCCCCCCUAACUAAAUAUGUCUCCGUAAGAUUGCAAUAGAAUGAAGUGCUUCAAUAGCUAGCUAAAUAAUUUAAAUAAUAUGUGAAUUCUUAUAUGUAUUUGUAUAUGUGCAUAUAUUUAUGAGAUGGAAGCCCCGUACUGUGACAUAGCUAUUUAUUUUCCAAAAUGUGAGGCGGCGUGGUUGUGAUUUUGCUAGAAAACUGCAGAAUAUGUGUAAAGAGAACAAACAGAUGUAAACAGGAUUCAGUAUAAUUUUACCUUUUUUUUUUUUUUUUUUUUUUUUUUUUAACCACAUUGCAUUAUUUCAGAGGCUUGAACACCUCAAAAUACUGUACUCUUCUGGGCUAGAAUAUUUCAGAUUAAUUUUUAAUAGAAGAUAGCAAAAGCCUUUACUUUUCUCCGUCACCCCCUGUAUCUUUUUAAGUUGCUGAAAUGAAGAGGGCGAUUGUUUUGGGUUUUUUUUCCAACCAAGCCUCCCGUCUAGUUUUAAUUUUAGGAUUAAACGACUACGGACCUACACAGAGACACUCCUUGUUGGCGAACAAUCAUGAUGUUUUCCAUCCCUUUGAGCUGAUGAACAUCUGAGGUCUCUCUGAUGACUGCAAGUAGCUGAAAUAUUGCGGGCUUUUAUUUUUUUCAGGAGAGGAAGUUACUUCUAGAUAGAAAACUUUAUGUUUCGGCAGCUAUUAUCUUGCUCACCAGCAGAAAAACGAUUUGCUGUUCUGACAGUCUCUCGGCGCCUUCCCAACGCGCGGGGCGUCUCUCGCAAUGUUGUGUCUCCUCACCCCUCGGUUGCCCAGCCCAGAGCUCCAGGGUCCCGGGGCUCUGAACACCUCUAAAAUGUUUGCAUUUACUGCUGGGAGCCUAGUCCUGAAAAACAAUGCUGUCGGGCUUGGCAAUAAGACGGACGCAAGAAGGGGUUUUCUCAGACCAACUAGUAUAUCAGAAAUUAAAUGACUGACGGUGAUUCUAUAAAUGUCUCUUUUUCUCCACUCUCGGAGGCUUUCCCAGCACAAGAAAACAUACAUGCAGUCACUUAUUUUUCCCUACGUCUAUCCAGAUACAGGUGCAAGAGACUUCCCAGCAAACUUAGUUGGCGGGAGGGGGGUGUCUAGAGCCAGCGGCGGGCUCUAAACUGGUGCGAAAGCAAAUUUCCUUGGUUAAAAUGCGCCGGUACAGAAGAUCAGGCACUUUCCACCCACUCCCACCCAGACCCACAAAGCGCCGUGUUGUUAGCACCGUUUGUAGUAAGCAGGUACCAGUCCCCUUUCGUGUCAAUGCAUUUUAUGAAGAAUUAAACAGAGCGGUUUAGGGAAACAUCCCCAGUGAUCCCUUGAAAGUGAGGUGCUAGUAGUCGACAGUUAUCCCUGCGGACGGCCAUAUCCCAGGCGAUGUUCCCAUGCAAAGUUAACCCUCAACCGAGAGUCUGCUUUACUCUACGCAUU
Molecule: non-coding RNA, 2568 nt
Organism: Taeniopygia guttata (zebra finch)
Lineage: Eukaryota; Metazoa; Chordata; Aves; Passeriformes; Estrildidae
Source: RefSeq, a predicted model, not a curated record